CCCAGCCCCGCAGCGCCUCCACCCCAGAGACCCGGACCAAGUUCACACAGGACAAUCUGUGCCACGCCCAGCGCGAGCGCCUGGACUCGGCCAACCUGUGGGUGCUGGUGGACUGCAUCCUUCGCGACACCUCCGAGGACCUGGGACUCCAGUGUGACGCCGUGAACCUGGCCUUCGGGCGCCGCUGUGAGGAACUGGAGGACGCGCGGCACAAGCUGCAGCACCACCUGCACAAGAUGCUGCGGGAAAUCACAGAUCAGGAACACAACGUGGUGGCACUGAAGGAGGCCAUCAAGGACAAGGAGGAACCUCUGCACAUAGCCCAGACCCGGCUGUAGUUGCUCUCACACCGGCCCAACAUGCAGCUGUGCCGCGAUGCAGCCCAGUUCAGCCCCAGCUCACACCCCCCAACACCCCCAAGCUGGUGAGUGAGGUGGAGGAGCUGUACAAGUCCAUCACAGCGCUGCGGGAGAAGCUUCUACAAGCGGAGCAGUCCCUGCGCAACCUCAAGGACAUCCACAUGAGCCUGGAGAAGGACGUCACUGCCAUGACCAACAGUCUCUUCAUCGACCGCCAGAAGUGCAUGGCCCAUCGUACUUGCUACCCCACCAUUCUGCAGCUGGCUGGCUACCAGUGAGCAGCGGCACGGUGCUUCCCCCCAAUCCCCCAAAUAAACAGUGCGUUAGCUUUCU
This 692-nucleotide long non-coding RNA is filed under the name Homo sapiens (human). RNAcentral describes it as "long non-coding RNA NONHSAT191177.1". Lineage: Eukaryota; Metazoa; Chordata; Mammalia; Primates; Hominidae. The record is from RNAcentral.